CAGUAGCCGCGGGAAUACGUAGGUGGCAAGCGUUGUCCGGAAUUAUUGGGCGUAAAGCGGGCGCAGGUGGUUUAAUAAGUCUGAUGUGAAAGCCCACGGCUCAACCGUGGAGGGUCAUUGGAAACUGCUAAACUUGAGUGCAGGAGAGAAAAGUGGAAUUCCUAGUGUAGCGGUGAAAUGCGUAGAGAUUAGGAGGAACACCAGUGGCGAAGGCGGCUUUUUGGCCUGUAACUGACACUGAGGCGCGAAAGCGUGGGGAGCAAACAGGAUUAGAUACCCCCGUAGUCCCUGUCUCUUAUAC
This 301-nucleotide ribosomal RNA is filed under the name uncultured bacterium. RNAcentral describes it as "partial 16S ribosomal RNA". It matches the Rfam family "Bacterial small subunit ribosomal RNA", at positions 509 to 807 of the family's 1533-position model. The record is from RNAcentral.